AGGACGAACGCUGGCGGCGUGCUUAACACAUGCAAGUCGAGCGGUAAGGCCUUUCGGGGUACACGAGCGGCGAACGGGUGAGUAACACGUGGGUGAUCUGCCCUGCACUUCGGGAUAAGCCUGGGAAACUGGGUCUAAUACCGGAUAUGACCUCAGGUUGCAUGACUUGGGGUGGAAAGAUUUAUCGGUGCAGGAUGGGCCCGCGGCCUAUCAGCUUGUUGGUGGGGUAAUGGCCUACCAAGGCGACGACGGGUAGCCGACCUGAGAGGGUGACCGGCCACACUGGGACUGAGACACGGCCCAGACUCCUACGGGAGGCAGCAGUGGGGAAUA
Molecule: ribosomal RNA, 333 nt
Filed under: uncultured soil bacterium
Lineage: Bacteria
Description: bacterial SSU rRNA
Rfam family: Bacterial small subunit ribosomal RNA
Source: RNAcentral